GAGUGGACUCCUACGGGAGGCAGCAGUGAGGAAUAUUGGUCAAUGGACGAAAGUCUGAACCAGCCAAGUAGCGUGCAGGAUGACGGCCCUCUGGGUUGUAAACUGCUUUUAGUUGGGAAUAAAAAAGAGGACGUGUCCUCUAUUGUAUGUACCUUCAGAAAAAGGACCGGCUAAUUCCGUGCCAGCAGCCGCGGUAAUACGGAAGGUCCAGGCGUUAUCCGGAUUUAUUGGGUUUAAAGGGAGCGUAGGCGGAUUAUUAAGUCAGUGGUGAAAGACGGUGGCUCAACCAUCGUUAGCCAUUGAAACUGGUAGUCUUGAGUGCAGACAGGGAUGCUGGAACUCGUGGUGUAGCGGUGAAAUGCUUAGAUAUCACGAUGAACUCCGAUCGCGAAGGCAGGUGUCCGGGCUGCAACUGACGCUGAGGCUCGAAAGUGUGGGUAUCAAACAGGAUUAGAUACCCUUGUAGUCCUAUC
RNAcentral lists this ribosomal RNA (473 nucleotides) under uncultured bacterium. RNAcentral's name for it is "bacterial SSU rRNA". It matches the Rfam family "Bacterial small subunit ribosomal RNA", at positions 329 to 800 of the family's 1533-position model. The record is from RNAcentral.